Molecule: ribosomal RNA, 443 nt
Filed under: uncultured bacterium
Lineage: Bacteria
Description: bacterial SSU rRNA
Rfam family: Bacterial small subunit ribosomal RNA
Source: RNAcentral
GUGAACGCUGGGGCGUGCUUGACACAUGCAAGUCGAACGGUAUGUGGCAACACAUAGAGUGGCGAACGGGUGAGUAACACGUGGGAACGUAUCUUUUGCAGGGGGAUAACUGACCGAAAGGACAGCUAAUACCGCAUAAGUCCGAGAGGAGAAAGGUGCAAAAGCAUCGGCAGAAGAGCGGCCGCGGUCCAUCAGCUAGUUGGUGAGGUAAGGGCUUACCAAGGCGACGACGGAUAGCCGGCGUGAGAGCGUGGCCGGCCACAAGGACACUGAGAUACGGGUCCUACUCCUACGGGAGGCAGCAGUGCGGAAUUUUGGGCAAUGGGGGAGACCCUGACCCAGCGACGCCGCGUGAGGGACGAAGGCCCUUGGGUCGUAAACCUCUUUUGCAGGGGAAGAAGAAGAUGACGGUACCUUGCGAACAAGUCCCGGCUAACUACGUG